Molecule: small nuclear RNA, 162 nt
Filed under: Ochotona princeps (American pika)
Lineage: Eukaryota; Metazoa; Chordata; Mammalia; Lagomorpha; Ochotonidae
Description: U1 spliceosomal RNA (ENSOPRG00000017790.1)
Rfam family: U1 spliceosomal RNA
About the family: U1 is a small nuclear RNA (snRNA) component of the spliceosome (involved in pre-mRNA splicing). Its 5' end forms complementary base pairs with the 5' splice junction, thus defining the 5' donor site of an intron. There are significant differences in sequence and secondary structure between metazoan and yeast U1 snRNAs, the latter being much longer (568 nucleotides as compared to 164 nucleotides in human).
Source: RNAcentral
AUGUGUGUCUGGCAGGGGGAUUCCACGAUCACGCAGGUGGAUUUUCCAGAGCGAGGCUCAUCCAUUGCGCUUAGGAUGGGCUUAACCCUGUGAAAUCCUCAAAUGUGGGAAACUCUAUGGCAUAAUUGUGGUAGUGCGGGACUGUGUUCAUGCUCUCCUCUG